RNAcentral lists this ribosomal RNA (449 nucleotides) under uncultured bacterium. RNAcentral describes it as "partial 16S ribosomal RNA". It matches the Rfam family "Bacterial small subunit ribosomal RNA", at positions 29 to 523 of the family's 1533-position model. The record is from RNAcentral.
AACGAACGCUGGCGGCAUGCCUAACACAUGCAAGUCGAACGAGAUCUUCAGGUCUAGUGGCGCACGGGUGCGUAACGCGUGGGAAUCCGCCCUUUGGUUCGGGAUAACCGUUGGAAACGACUGCUAAUACCGGAUGAUGACGAAAGUCCAAAGAUUUAUCGCCAGAGGAUGAGCCCCGGUAGGAUUAGCUAGUUGGGGGGGUAAAGGCGACCCAAGGCGACGAUCCUUAGCUGGUCUGAGAGGAUGAUCAGCCACACUGGGACUGAGACACGGCCCAGCCUCCUACGGGAGGCAGCAGUGGGGAAUAUUGGACAAUGGGCGAAAGCCUGAUCCAGCAAUGCCGCGUGAGUGAUGAAGGCCUUAGGGUUGUAAAGCUCUUUUACCCGGGAUGAUAAUGACAGUACCGGGAGAAUAAGCUCCGGCUAACUCCGUGCCAGCCGCCGCCGUAA